This 549-nucleotide ribosomal RNA is filed under the name Metarhizium anisopliae. RNAcentral describes it as "eukaryotic LSU rRNA". The stretch from base 156 to 309 matches the Rfam family "5.8S ribosomal RNA". The record is from RNAcentral. Lineage: Eukaryota; Fungi; Ascomycota; Sordariomycetes; Hypocreales; Clavicipitaceae.
UGCGGAGGGAUCAUUACCGAGUUAUCCAACUCCCAACCCCUGUGAAUUAUACCUUUAAUUGUUGCUUCGGCGGGACUUCGCGCCCGCCGGGGACCCAAACCUUUUGAAUUUUUUAAUAAGUAUUUUUUGAGUGGUUUAAAAAAAAAAUGAAUCAAAACUUUCAACAACGGAUCUCUUGGUUCUGGCAUCGAUGAAGAACGCAGCGAAAUGCGAUAAGUAAUGUGAAUUGCAGAAUUCAGUGAAUCAUCGAAUCUUUGAACGCACAUUGCGCCCGUCAGUAUUCUGGCGGGCAUGCCUGUUCGAGCGUCAUUACGCCCCUCAAGUCCCCUGUGGACUUGGUGUUGGGGAUCGGCGAGGCUGGUUUUCCAGCACAGCCGUCCCUUAAAUUAAUUGGCGGUCUCGCCGUGGCCCUCCUCUGCGCAGUAGUAAAGCACUCGCAACAGGAGCCCGGCGCGGUCCACUGCCGUAAAACCCCCCAACUUUUUAUAGUUGACCUCGAAUCAGGUAGGACUACCCGCUGAACUUGGGUCCUUAUUAAUAAGCGGAGGA